AUUGAACGCUGGCGGCAUGCCUUACACAUGCAAGUCGAACGGUAACAGGUCUUCGGAUGCUGACGAGUGGCGCACGGGUGAGUAAUACAUCGGAACGUGCCCGAUCGUGGGGGCUAACGAAGCGAAAGCUUUGCUAAUACCGCAUACGAUCUACGGAUGAAAGCGGGGGAUCUUCGGACCUCGCGCGGACGGAGCGGCCGAUGGCAGAUUAGGUAGUUGGUGGGAUAAAAGCUUACCAAGCCGACGAUCUGUAGCUGGUCUGAGAGGAUGAUCAGCCACACUGGGACUGAGACACGGCCCAGACUCCUACGGGAGGCAGCAGUGGGGAAUUUUGGACAAUGGGCGCAAGCCUGAUCCAGCCAUGCCGCGUGAAGGAUGAAGGCCUUCGGGUUGUAAACUGCUUUUGUACGGAACGAAAAGGUGCCUUCUAAUAAAGGGCGCUCAUGACGGUACCGGAAGAAUAAGCACCGGCUAACUACGUG
RNAcentral lists this ribosomal RNA (482 nucleotides) under uncultured bacterium. Its description in RNAcentral is "partial 16S ribosomal RNA". It matches the Rfam family "Bacterial small subunit ribosomal RNA", at positions 30 to 507 of the family's 1533-position model. The record is from RNAcentral.